UUGAACGCUGGCGGCGUGCUUAACACAUGCAAGUCGAUCGGUAACAGGUGUAGCAAUACGGCAGCGGCAGACGGGAGAGUAACACGUGGGAACGCGCCCUUUGGUUCGGAAUAACUCAGGGAAACUUGAGCUAAUACCGGAUAAGCCCUUACGGGGAAAGAUUUAUCGCCAAAGGAACGGCCCGCGUCCGAUUAGCUAGUUGGUGAGGUAACGGCUCACCAAGGCGACGAUCGGUAGCUGGUCUGAGAGGAUGACCAGCCUCACUGGGACUGAGACACGGCCCAGACUCCUACGGGAGGCAGCAGUGGGGAAUAUUGGACAAUGGGCGCAAGCCUGAUCCAGCCAUGCCGCGUGAGUGAUGAAGGCCUUAGGGUUGUAAAGCUCUUUUAGCAGGGAAGAUAAUGACGGUACCUGCAGAAAAAGCCCCGGCUAACUUCGU
RNAcentral lists this ribosomal RNA (439 nucleotides) under uncultured bacterium. Its description in RNAcentral is "bacterial SSU rRNA". It matches the Rfam family "Bacterial small subunit ribosomal RNA", at positions 30 to 506 of the family's 1533-position model. The record is from RNAcentral.